ACUACUCUUCGCAACAAACUCCGCCUGACUCUGGGCAGUCCACUGCCAGACGGUUACAGAUGUCGCUAUCAGUCUACUACCCUCCUUUUUCGCCUAUAAAAGGGGACCCCAGAUACGUUAUUCUAUAAGCUCUCAUUUUUUACCUAGAAACUUUGUAAAAAUUUCCGUUCGAGCACUCCAUUCUUGUUGAGGCAGAGAACUGACUUGAGCGUCGGAGGGUCUUGCCGGAGUAACCCCACCUCCGGUUUAGACUUCUUUUGCAGGUCCCGAUGGCGACCGUGACUCCCUCGACUCCAGCUUCUCCGGCGCAAGCGAAUUUUUGCACCAACAGGAU
RNAcentral lists this long non-coding RNA (334 nucleotides) under Elaeis guineensis (African oil palm). RNAcentral describes it as "long non-coding RNA (EGUI_LNC045071)". Lineage: Eukaryota; Viridiplantae; Streptophyta; Magnoliopsida; Arecales; Arecaceae. The record is from RNAcentral.